UACGGGGGGAGCAAGCGUUGUUCGGAUUUACUGGGCGUAAAGGGCGCGUAGGCGGCCACCGCAAGUCGACUGUGAAAUCUCCGGGCUUAACCCGGAACGGUCAGCCGAUACUGCGGGGCUAGAGUGCAGAAGGGGCAACUGGAAUUCUCGGUGUAGCGGUGAAAUGCGUAGAUAUCGAGAGGAACACCUGCGGCGAAGGCGGGUUGCUGGGCUGACACUGACGCUGAAGCGCGAAAGCUAGGGGAGCGAACGGG
RNAcentral lists this ribosomal RNA (254 nucleotides) under uncultured bacterium. RNAcentral's name for it is "partial 16S ribosomal RNA". It matches the Rfam family "Bacterial small subunit ribosomal RNA", at positions 524 to 776 of the family's 1533-position model. The record is from RNAcentral.